RNAcentral lists this unclassified non-coding RNA (255 nucleotides) under fungal sp. Its description in RNAcentral is "partial contains small subunit ribosomal RNA, internal transcribed spacer 1, and 5.8S ribosomal RNA". The stretch from base 1 to 46 matches the Rfam family "Eukaryotic small subunit ribosomal RNA", at positions 1786 to 1831 of the family's 1831-position model. The record is from RNAcentral. Lineage: Eukaryota; Fungi.
AAGUCGUAACAAGGUUUCCGUAGGUGAACCUGCGGAAGGAUCAUUACCGAGUUAGGGUCUUCUGGGCCUGACCUCCAACCCUUUGUUUACUCUACCAUGUUGCUUUGGCGGGCCCGCCUUUUCGGGGGCCGCCGGGGGCUUUACUGCCUCUGGCCUGUGCCCGCCAGUAGCCCUCUCAAAUUCGUUUUAAUUGUGUUGUCUGAGUAUAAAUAUAAAUCGUUUUUAAAACUUUCAACAACGGAUCUCUUGGUUCUG